AGAGUUUGAUCCUGGCUCAGGACGAACGCUGGCGGCGUGCUUAACACAUGCAAGUCGAGCGAUGAAGCACCUUCGGGUGUGAAUUAGCGGCGAACGGGUGAGGAACACGUGAGAAAUCUGCCUUCAACUCUGGGAUAACUCCGUGAAAACGGGGCUAAUACCGGAUAUGAGAUCUACAGGCAUCUGUGGAUCUGGAAAGUUUUUCGGUUGAAGAUGAUCUCGCGGCCUAUCAGCUUGUUGGUGAGGUAAUGGCUCACCAAGGCGACGACGGGUAGCCGGCCUGAGAGGGCGACCGGGCACACUGGGACUGAGACACGGCCCAGACUCCUACGGGAGGCAGCAGUGGGGAAUAUUGGGCAAUGGAGGAAACUCUGACCCAGCGACGCCGCGUGCGGGAUGAAGGCCUUCGGGUUGUAAACCGCUUUCAGCAGGGAAGAAGCGAAAGUGACGGUACCUGCAGAAGAAGCACCGGCUAACUAUGUGCCAGCCGCCGCGGUAAUUC
Molecule: ribosomal RNA, 502 nt
Filed under: uncultured Nostocoides sp.
Lineage: Bacteria; Bacillati; Actinomycetota; Actinomycetes; Micrococcales; Intrasporangiaceae
Description: bacterial SSU rRNA
Rfam family: Bacterial small subunit ribosomal RNA
Source: RNAcentral